UAGAUGGUAAUCAAGGUUUGUUAAGAUGCUUUUCAAAAUAUGUUUUGGAUGAUUAUUUUAUCAGUAAGAUAAACGACUAAAAUGACAACCUUGAAGUGCUGUUAAAAAUAUGCUACCUUCCCAAGAUUAAACAUGAGCACUCAACUGAAUUCCUUCUUUCCGUUUUACCACUACCUGGGAAAUCCCAAAUAACACGGCCUAUGAUGCAAACACAAACACCUCUCUAAGGGAUGGAUGACCCAGAACAGAUCGUAUAAAUCACAAGGAAGUCUGUUUAUAAAGACUUGGACAUUUGAAGAGGAAAGAGAUGGAACACUCUUACUAAUCUUAUUUCUAGAAAUAGAAAUUUAGUCAGUAAAGAAGCUUUCUGAGGA
Suricata suricatta (meerkat) is the source of this 374-nucleotide long non-coding RNA. RefSeq lists it as uncharacterized. The record is from RefSeq and is a predicted model, not a curated record. Lineage: Eukaryota; Metazoa; Chordata; Mammalia; Carnivora; Herpestidae. The transcript is spliced from 2 exons.